CCCUUAGAUGUUCUGGGCAGCACGCGCGCUACAAUGGUCUUCGCAAACGGAUGCAUUCUCGAAGGAGAAUGCCAACCUUGGAAUCUAUGCCUUGGUCGGGACAGUUGCUUGCAAUUUUUCGACUCGAACCAGGAAUUCCUUGUAAUCGUGAUUCAUCACAUCACGAUGAAUACGUCCCUGCCCUUUGUACACACCGCCCGUCGCUCCUACCGAUCGAAGAGUUAGGUGAAUUGUUUUGAUCGAUAAGAUUUGACUAUGGUCAACUCUCGUUGUGAAAUUCUGUGAAUCUGACUGUUUAGAGGAAGGAAAAGUCGUAACA
Molecule: ribosomal RNA, 319 nt
Filed under: uncultured eukaryote
Lineage: Eukaryota
Description: partial 18S ribosomal RNA
Rfam family: Eukaryotic small subunit ribosomal RNA
Source: RNAcentral